This 460-nucleotide ribosomal RNA is filed under the name uncultured bacterium. Its description in RNAcentral is "partial 16S ribosomal RNA". It matches the Rfam family "Bacterial small subunit ribosomal RNA", at positions 338 to 795 of the family's 1533-position model. The record is from RNAcentral.
CCUACGGGAGGCAGCAGUGAGGAAUAUUGGUCAAUGGACGCAAGCCUGAACCAGCCAUGCCGCGUGCAGGCAGACGGCCCUAUGAGUUGUAACCUGCUUUUGUCCGGGGGUAAAUCGCCAUACGUGUAUCGGGUUGAAAGUAUCGUACGAAUAAGGACCGGCUAAUGCCGUGCCAGCAGCCGCGGUAAUACGGAGGAUCCAAGCGUUAUCCGGAUUUAUUGGGUUUAAAGGGUGCGGAGGCGGUCCGAAAAGUUAGCGGUGAAAUCCCGGGGCUCAACCCCGGCCCUGCCUCUGAUACUGGCGGGCUAGAGUUCAGUUGCGGUAGGAGGAAUGUGUGGUGUAGCGGUGAAAUGCAUAGAGAUCACACAGAACACCGAUUGCGAAGGCAGCUGACGAAACGAAGACUGACGUUGAGGCACGAAAGCGUGGGUAGCGAACAGGAUUAGAUACCCGUGUAGUC